This 497-nucleotide ribosomal RNA is filed under the name uncultured bacterium. RNAcentral's name for it is "partial 16S ribosomal RNA". It matches the Rfam family "Bacterial small subunit ribosomal RNA", at positions 28 to 507 of the family's 1533-position model. The record is from RNAcentral.
GAUGAACGCUGGCGGCGUGCCUAAUACAUGCAAGUCGAGCGAACAGAUGAGGAGCUUGCUCUUCUGACGUUAGCGGCGGACGGGUGAGUAACACGUGGAUAACCUACCUAUAAGACUGGGAUAACUUCGGGAAACCGGAGCUAAUACCGGAUAAUAUAUUGAACCGCAUGGCUCAAUAGUGAAAGACGGCUUUGCUUUCACUUAUAGAUGGAUCCGCGCCGCAUUAGCUAGUUGGUAAGGUAACGGCUUACCAAGGCAACGAUGCGUAGCCGACCUGAGAGGGUGAUCGGCCACACUGGAACUGAGACACGGUCCAGACUCCUACGGGAGGCAGCAGUAGGGAAUCUUCCGCAAUGGGCGAAAGCCUGACGGAGCAACGCCGCGUGAGUGAUGAAGGUCUUCGGAUCGUAAAACUCUGUUAUUAGGGAAGAACAAGUGUUUAAGUAACUAUGCACGUCUUGACGGUACCUAAUCAGAAAGCCACGGCUAACUACGUG